GCUCAGAAAAAGAAAAAGAAAGAAAGAAAAAAAGCAGCAGCAGAAAGAGCAAAGAGCUUUGCGACAAUGUUGGUUAAGAGAAUGGAGAUUUGCAUAGAGCUAGUGAAAUUCGCUAUAAAGUUUGUCAUUGCUCAGGUCGAGAAGGUGAUUAACGAAAACCUCCGCCACCGCAGGCCGCCCCCGCCGGUGGCAAUGAGGAUGCGGUCUUUGUCCCCUCCGCUCCCAUUCGUCGGGCCUCUUUAAAGAAUUCUGUUUUUGUAAAAAAAAAAACAUUGCAGGUUUCGACCAUUUGGUAAUUUGCUCUUUCUAUUGCUAGCACUGGUUUCGAGAUUUGAAUGUGUACUAAACUGUUCAAUUGUACUUUCUGUAUUUUAGAAUUUAUUCUAUUUUUAUUUUCCGGAAUUUAAUGGAUUUUUAUUUUUCAAAAUUUCAGAUAUAAAUGAUAAUGCCGUUAAAA
Gossypium raimondii (Peruvian cotton) is the source of this 457-nucleotide long non-coding RNA. RefSeq lists it as uncharacterized. The record is from RefSeq and is a predicted model, not a curated record. NCBI's taxonomy places the organism in Eukaryota, Viridiplantae, Streptophyta, Magnoliopsida, Malvales, Malvaceae. The transcript is spliced from 2 exons.